This 301-nucleotide ribosomal RNA is filed under the name uncultured bacterium. RNAcentral describes it as "partial 16S ribosomal RNA". It matches the Rfam family "Bacterial small subunit ribosomal RNA", at positions 509 to 809 of the family's 1533-position model. The record is from RNAcentral.
CAGUAGCCGCGGUAAUACGAAGGGGGCUAGCGUUGUUCGGAUUUACUGGGCGUAAAGCGCACGUAGGCGGACUUUUAAGUCAGGGGUGAAAUCCCGGGGCUCAACCCCGGAACUGCCUUUGAUACUGGGAGUCUUGAGUUCGAGAGAGGUGAGUGGAAUUGCGAGUGUAGAGGUGAAAUUCGUAGAUAUUCGCAGGAACACCAGUGGCGAAGGCGGCUCACUGGCUCGAUACUGACGCUGAGGUGCGAAAGCGUGGGGAGCAAACAGGAUUAGAUACCCGUGUAGUCCCUGUCUCUUAUAA